RNAcentral lists this ribosomal RNA (440 nucleotides) under uncultured bacterium. RNAcentral's name for it is "bacterial SSU rRNA". It matches the Rfam family "Bacterial small subunit ribosomal RNA", at positions 958 to 1397 of the family's 1533-position model. The record is from RNAcentral.
AACGCGAAGAACCUUACCUACCCUUGACAUCCUAGGAAGACUGCAGAGAUGUAGUUGUGCCGAAAGGAACCUAGAGACAGGUGCUGCAUGGCUGUCGUCAGCUCGUGUUGUGAGAUGUUGGGUUAAGUCCCGUAACGAGCGCAACCCUUAUCCUUAGUUACCAGCACGUUAUGGUGGGAACUCUAAGGAGACUGCUGGUGAAGAACCGGAGGAAGGCGGGGACGACGUCAAGUCAUCAUGGCCUUUAUGGGUAGGGCCACACACGUGCUACAAUGGAGCGUACAGAGGGAAGCCAACCCGCGAGGGGGAGCCGAUCCCGCAAAGCGCUUCGUAGUCCGGAUUGAAGUCUGCAACUCGACUUCAUGAAGUUGGAAUCGCUAGUAAUCGCGAAUCAGAAUGUCGCGGUGAAUACGUUCCCGGGCCUUGUACACACCGCGAGC